GAACCCGCAACCUCACGGUUCCUAGUUGGAUUCGCCAAGCACUGUGCCACCACGGGAACUCCUCACACAUUUUUUUACAUCAUCACAUUCAUCUGUAUUCUUUUCCCUCUCCUCCACUACCCAGCUACAGAUAUUAGCUCUAAUGUAUUUAAUGUGUCCUCAACUAAGUUUGAUGUUUGAGAAGUAUAUCAUGUAUUUGUUUUGUGUGUUUUAUUUAUUGAUAUUUAUUUAUUCCAAAGUGUUGAUCUUGUUUUAGUAUCUGGCUGGAAAACUAGACACCCGACCAGUCAGGAGCGGUGGGCUUAAUCCUCGUCAUCGCGGCUCCAGCCCCACCCUGGCCCUUCUUGGCCUUCUUCCUCUUCACGCGGCCUGGGCGGCCACCCCCCGCCCAGAGAGCAGAGGGAGAGGUGCUGCUGGGAGUCCAGGCGGACAAUGAAGGACGGGAUGUUCACCACCUGCUUGCUUGCGGACCGUGGGGAGGGGGGAGCAGGUGAAGGGAACGGGAACAGGACGCGCUCUCUGCCCCGGCUCUGCAGGUGCCAGGGCUGGUGCUACAGCUGCACUGCCUCUGAAGCAAUAAACAGGAAGUGCCCAUCCCAAGGACCGCUGUGUGUUCUGGAGAGCUCCUGGGCAUCAUCUAGUUCACAAGGGCGAAUGCCCCCAAGAGUGAGAUUGCGCCAGCCGGGGUAUAACGUGUUUUCCCGAUGUUCUGCCCAGCUGCUCCAAAGCAGCCGUACGAGUUGCACUUCCAGUGGCGGUGCAUGAAGGCUCCUGUCAGCCCACCACUCACUGACACCCGAUGUUACUAGGCUUUCUAAUUUGUCCUAAUCAGGCUUCUAACCAACCAGCCAAGUCAUUCGCCUUGCCAGUGUGUGAGUAUAUAAACUUACCUCAGGCUGCCUCUCCUUAUACACAAAGUGGAUGAGCACAGGUACAGCUGGAACUCUGACCACUGCGAGGAUUCCUCUUUCCCCCCGGGUACCCCUUAGGUAUAGAGUUAGAAUACAGCGACAAUCCAUUUUUAAUUGUGUUGCAUCUUUCUGACCAUUUUCCCAUAGACACAUUUCCCUCUGGCCCACUUCUUGUGGCGGGAGCUCUCUGGCUGCCUCCCCACAUAAGCCUUUCCUUAGCACAUGUGCACAAAGAGCAUGACAGCUCUGGUCUUGCCUCCUCUUCUUGUCUUUUUUUUUUUUUUUUUUUU
Molecule: non-coding RNA, 1201 nt
Organism: Sus scrofa (pig)
Lineage: Eukaryota; Metazoa; Chordata; Mammalia; Artiodactyla; Suidae
Source: RefSeq, a predicted model, not a curated record